CACAUUCUUAGAGGUUGCUGUCUGUGGGUAGCAUGGUAAAAAAGAAUUGGGAGGUUUAAUAAUUAGUAUAAACUUAAAUAUUCUGAAAUUUGUUGGAAUAAUUUUAUAGUGAGGAAGAAGUAUUUGGUGACUAAUUUAUAUGUAAAUACAUAAAUAUAAUUUCUCUUUUCUAAAAGUGAAUGUAUAAAGGAGCUUUAAAAUGGUACAAAGAGAAACAUCCUAAGUUAAUUCUGUUUCUGUUUAUUUCAGGGCUGAAAAUAGUGAAAUCACGUUUCACGGUUAAAAAACUAUUAAGAAGGCAAUAUGGGGACUCCUGGUUCUGGAAGGAAAAGGACACCUGUAAAAGACCGAUUUUCUGCAGAAGAUGAAGCUUUGAGUAACAUUGCCAGAGAGAGCUCUGAAUAUGAAUGUGCCAACUCUUAAUAACCUGGUCAAAAGGCUCAGCUUAACCUUCAAUAUGAAAGGGUCAGUUUCUAUUAAGAUUCAAGAUUUUUAUUUGUAUGAGUGCCUAAUGUGUUAUGUAGAGUUUGAAAACUUUCGAGGAACUAGGUUUAGCAGUUUUAAUAAUUCCUUCAUAUAUUUCUUGUGAUUCUUUUUUUUCCUUUAAAUAAAGUUUUCAUAGCUAAUUCUCA
Molecule: non-coding RNA, 632 nt
Organism: Leptonychotes weddellii (Weddell seal)
Lineage: Eukaryota; Metazoa; Chordata; Mammalia; Carnivora; Phocidae
Source: RefSeq, a predicted model, not a curated record